This 390-nucleotide ribosomal RNA is filed under the name uncultured bacterium. Its description in RNAcentral is "bacterial SSU rRNA". It matches the Rfam family "Bacterial small subunit ribosomal RNA", at positions 30 to 418 of the family's 1533-position model. The record is from RNAcentral.
AUUGAACGCUGGCGGCAUGCCUUACACAUGCAAGUCGAACGGCAGCACGGGAGCAAUCCUGGUGGCGAGUGGCGAACGGGUGAGUAAUAUAUCGGAACGUGCCCAGUCGUGGGGAUAACGUAGCGAAAGCUACGCUAAUACCGCAUACGAUCUAUGGAUGAAAGCGGGGGAUCGCAAGACCUCGCGCGAUUGGAGCGGCCGAUAUCAGAUUAGGUAGUUGGUGAGGUAAAGGCUCACCAAGCCGACGAUCUGUAGCUGGUCUGAGAGGACGACCAGCCACACUGGGACUGAGACACGGCCCAGACUCCUACGGGAGGCAGCAGUGGGGGAAUUUUUGGGACAAUGGGCGCAAGCCUGAUCCAGCAAUGCCGCGUGCAGGAUGAAGGCCUU